Podarcis lilfordi (Lilford's wall lizard) is the source of this 76-nucleotide non-coding RNA. The record is from the annotation of a GenBank genome assembly. NCBI's taxonomy places the organism in Eukaryota, Metazoa, Chordata, Lepidosauria, Squamata, Lacertidae.
GUCUGGAGGUGGCUCAGUUGGUUAGAGCAUGGUGCUGAUAAUGCCAAGGUCAUGAGUUCGAUUCCCGUAUGGGACA